GAUGAACGCUGGCGGCGUGCUUAACACAUGCAAGUCGAACGGAAAGGCCCAAGCUUGCUUGGGUCCUCGAGUGGCGAACGGGUGAGUAACACGUGGGUGAUCUGCCCUGCACUUCGGGAUAAGCCUGGGAAACUGGGUCUAAUACCGGAUAGGACGAUGGGUUGGAUGCCAUUGUGGAAAGUUUUUUCGGUGUGGGAUGAGCUCGCGGCCUAUCAGCUUGUUGGUGGGGUAAUGGCCUACCAAGGCGUCGACGGGUAGCCGGCCUGAGAGGGUGUACGGCCACAGUGGGAAGGAGAUACGGCCCAGACUCCGACGGGAGGCAGCAGGGGGGAAUAUUGCACAAUGGGCGCAAGCCUGAUGCAGCGACGCCGCGUGGGGGAUGACGGCCUUCGGGUUGUAAACUCCUUUCGCUAGGGACGAAGCGUGUUUGUGACGGUACCUGGAGAAGAAGCACCGGCUAACUACGUG
Molecule: ribosomal RNA, 468 nt
Filed under: uncultured bacterium
Lineage: Bacteria
Description: partial 16S ribosomal RNA
Rfam family: Bacterial small subunit ribosomal RNA
Source: RNAcentral